Molecule: ribosomal RNA, 422 nt
Filed under: uncultured prokaryote
Description: bacterial SSU rRNA
Rfam family: Bacterial small subunit ribosomal RNA
Source: RNAcentral
UGAGGAAUAUUGGUCAAUGGGCGAGAGCCUGAACCAGCCAAGUCGCGUGAAGGAAGACGGCCAUAUGGGUUGUAAACUUCUUUUGUACGGGGAUAAAAAAGGGUAUGUAUACUCUCUUGUAGGUACCUUACGAAUAAGGAUCGGCUAACUCCGUGCCAGCAGCCGCGGUAAUACGGAGGAUCCGAGCGUUAUCCGGAUUUAUUGGGUUUAAAGGGUGCGUAGGCGGGACUACAAGUCAGUGGUGAAAGUUUGCAGCUUAACUGUAAAAUUGCCAUUGAAACUGUAUUUCUUGAGUACAGAAGAGGUAAGCGGAAUGUGUAGUGUAGCGGUGAAAUGCAUAGAUAUUACACAGAACACCGAUUGCGAAGGCAGCUUACUGGUAUGUAACUGACGCUGAGGCACGAAAGCGUGGGGAUCAAACA